RNAcentral lists this ribosomal RNA (473 nucleotides) under uncultured bacterium. RNAcentral describes it as "SSU rRNA". It matches the Rfam family "Bacterial small subunit ribosomal RNA", at positions 26 to 507 of the family's 1533-position model. The record is from RNAcentral.
AGGAUGAACGCUGGCGGCGUGCCUAACACAUGCAAGUCGAACGUCCUGUCUCGCAAGAGGCAGGGAGUGGCGGACGGGUGAGUACCACGUGGGUCAUCUACCGUGAGGUGAGGAAUACCGGCGAGAAAUCGCCGACAAGACCGCAUAGGCUCGAUGCAAGUCGAGCAAAGCUCUUUCGAGAGAGGGAGCGCCACACGAGGAGCCUGCGCCCGAUUAGCUAGCUGGUGGAGUAACGGUUCACCAGGGCGACGAUCGGUAGCUGGUCUGAGAGGACGAUCAGCCACACUGGGAUUGAGAACGGCCCAGACUCCUACGGGAGGCAGCAGUGAGGAAUAUUCCACAAUGGGCGAAAGCCUGAUGGAGCGACGCCGCGUGCGGGAUGAAGCCUUUGGGUGUAACCGCUUUUUUCGGGAUGAUACGUGGCGCAAGCCACUAGGACAGUACCCGAAGAAUAAGCAUCGGCUAACUACGUG